UUGGAGCUGACCCGGCCUAUCUUCCAAUUUCCCCUUUAAUCAACCACAACAGAGCAGCCUACGACAUCGAUCGGAAAAGAUAAGAGAAACACGCUUCUGGUUUCUAAAUCGUGAAAGUCAAACCCAGCUUCCCCCUAAAAUCGACCCAGCACUCAAUCGAUAUCAGCAAAGAUGUAACCCGAAAUCACCAUCUCCGACCCAACCUCAACCCGAUGCUCGCGUGAAUCACGUGCAUCCCACGUGAACAUGUUUGAGAAAAGCUUAGGAAGCUUCUAGAUAUGGGUGAGUUGAUGCGCUGUCCCUCUCCAACGUUUGAAUCCCAAUUUUCUCGGGUUGAUGUGUACGAUUUCGUACAAUUCUCAUUGGUUUAAAGGGUGUAUUUCGUUUGGUUCUUUUUUUUAUUGGUCCACCUGUUUGUCUCUUCUGGGAGAGAAAUCAAAAAGGGAUGCAUUCGUUUAGCUAAGGGGGAGCCCCGUUUUGAAUUUUGAAUUCCCACAGAAAAUCCCUAGGUUACCCUCAUUGGUUUCGAUAUAAAGAGCUCACUGUUGAGCUGAACAGGGAGGAAUUUUCUCUGGGGGGGCGAUUUUUGGUUCAAAAAAAAAAAAAUCAAGGGAAAAUUUGGGUUCGGAAAAAUUGAGGAAGAGAAAAUCCUGAGAGAGAAAGAGAGGGCUCUCAAGAAAAAUAUUUUUUGGAUACCAAAAAAUAUACGCGUUCUUGAAAAAUAUUUGCGCCUGAAUCGUUGAAGAUCUUUGGGUGGUGAUCGAAAUCCUGACGAUAGCUGGUAGUCCCGUUUGCUGCCCUUAAGGAGGUAAAUACACUCUACUUUCCUUUUAGUUUGAUCGCUUUCUUCUUCAUCUCUUUUCUUCGUACCUGUUGCAGUCAUAGUCGUAGUUUGUCUUACUAGGAGUAGCUACUGUAGUCUUUGUCGAAAUUUUGAUUGUUCUGUAAAUUGCUUGUUGUAGAGGCCUGAAAGGCCUUGGGUUUUUUUUUUAGUAAAGAAGUAUUUGGUUGCACUGUUACGUUAAGAUUACCUUUGUCAUUGCUGCCUAUGUGCAAUUUCUGCUGAUUCUGGCUCAGUUUAGAAACUUGUCGCCUAGUCUUGAUGUUGUUGAUGAAUUCACAGCGUAACGCUUACUGUUUGAGAUGGAUAGUUGGUUUUCGUGACAAAGAUUCAUGCUUUGAAUUCGUUUACCAAUUCCAGAUUAAUAAUGUCUUGAAUAAGCUGGUUUCGUAGUAAGGUUUCGUGCUUUUAAUUUUGUUUUGACAGUUUCGGAUUAAUGAUAUUUGGAAUAAGUUAAUUUCGUAACAAAGUUCCUUGCUUUAAGUCUGUUAAAUAGUUCGGGCUAAUGAGAGGUCAUUAUAGUUAUUUUCGUGGUCAAGUCGCACGCUUUGAUUUUGUCUCAGGCUAUUGAUAUCUCACUAUACUUAAUUUCAUGGUUAAAGUUCUGCACUUGGAAUUUUGUUUAACAGUUUAGGGUUAAGGAUGUUUUGUUCGCGGUUAGUAUUUGAUAUUGUCUGGUUUUUGUCGCCGUUAGUUUGAUGUGGUUGAACUGGUAAUAUCAUUAGUAGAACCUCCUCUUGGAUUCUUUGGCUUCUCAAAUGAUGAAGAAUCACGAGGAUAUGUCUAAAAACUAGUGAAUCCCAUGAUUCCUUGAUGACCUUUCUGACCAUUGAACUCAUUCUGAGUUUGUCAGAAAGAAGAUGAGGUCGAUAUCGUUGUUCCGUCACUUCCUCUUUAGAUUCAUUUACUACGUCUCUUCCGUGUGGAUUUUGGGUUUUAGUGAUCAGAGGAGUUGGUAGUUUCUUGGUUUAAGUGAGAGUUUCUUUGCCUCACUUGAUUGGAUUGCCUUGCAUACUGUAUAACAUAAGAGAAGAGAGUUAAAACGAAUUUUCCUUGAUCCACCUGUUGCGUGAAUUUAUUCAUCUACUUUAAAAACUAUCUUCAGUUCUUACUUUUAUAUCUCAGUCGAGUACUUUGAUGGCUAAUUGAUAAAAAAUUUUCUUAGCUUUUUUUUUUUUUCUUUUCUCCGAUUAGUAAGCACUUUAAGUUAUCUGUUUAUCAUGAAGGCGAUUUACUGCUAAUGUAAUCCCCUCACAACUGCUGUAGCACCCCUCUACUGUAGAAAAUAAGACCAACUUUAUGUUCUAUGCUCUCAUAUAAUGAUCGUCACAUCAGAUUGGGAAAACUGAAACCCUUUACUGGAGUUCUUUCAUGCAUAUGCACGUUUCUAUGCAAAAAUAUUACUAGUAUGUAAUAUAUCAUGCUCUCUUUGAUCCCUAUAUUAAAGAUUUAAAAAUCAAUUACAUGUCAUGAGUUCUAUAAUCUUGUACCAAAGUUUCCUUUUUAUGCUUGAGUUUGGAGUAAUGACUUUCGAAAGCCUUGAACCUUCGGAAUUUCCAUUGUUAUCAAGAUAGUUUGUUUCCAUGAACAUAUAUUAAUUCAUAUAUUUUUAUUUUCUUUGCAUGAAUUCGCCUCGGAGUCCAUACGGGCUCUUUCACUUUGCAUUACAUAAUGGGCCAAUAUGGCCCAUCUUUCGUGUCAAGCCCCGAAAGGAGGUCCAAACUAAUUACAUAGCAUACGGAUGCAAGAAGUCGAAAGAGGAAUAAUGGGUUAAAAUCCCAUUCUUGAAGCGACGACGAAACCCAAGCCUCAUUUCUGUGUAUUUAUUUAUUGUCGUUAUCUAUUUAUUGUUGUCAUUUUUAUUAUUGUUUAUUUCCUUUUUUCUUUCAUUAUUCAUUCAUUUGGGCCUCGAAGCCAACGUUGUAAAUUUAAUACAGGUGGAGCGGAUUUUGGGUUGAAAACCCAACUAGAUUAGGACAGGGUCGACGGUUGAAAGCCUAAAUCACUACUUCUCCCUUUCCCUUUUUCCUUUUUACUUGCUUUACGUAUUUCUUGCGAACCUAGUUAAAUCCUUAGUCAAGUCGCUAAAAAGUGGUUUUGCAUAAACACCAAAAUAUUCGUAAAAUUGCUUUCUUUUCAAAAAUCAAUUUUUUCAAGGUUAAUCAAAGACGAUUUUCAAACAGUCCGAAUAAUCGCAAGUUAGCGGACGUUUGAGGUGCCUAACACCUUCCUAAAAUGAUAAUAGGAACCGUUUACUUAUAAUCUUUACCUUCAACUAUUUUUCUAUUUUGGAUCGUUUAAAGUAACUCUCUAAAGGUUUUUUAAUUCCUUUUCAAAAUUAAGUGGCAACUCUUCAAAAUGUCAAAAUUUCCGCAAAACAACUUCAACUACUUUCAAAUUGUAAUUAAAUCGACUUAUUUUCUCUUUAUCAUGCUAAUGUAAUUAUUUUUAUGAUUCAAUUCAGCUGGAGUGCCAACUGAUGAUAGGAAUUGCCCUCCCUUUUUUUAUGAUUAUUCAUCCUGAUAUAGAACAUUUACACCAGCUCAUUCUCAGCGGUUGUAGUCUUUGGCUUUUGCAAGCUUGUUAGGCAGCAUUUUCACUUGUUUUUUAUAUUUUCUAAAUGAAUAAUGUUUCUUUGAAUAUCAAAAAAAUUUGUUUCAAUGCAAGGAGUACCUUUUGUAAAGAUGUUAUCUAUGUUUUUGGGAAAUGGAUGGCCUAUUUUUGUGUACUGCAGGUUCCAUAUUGGUGAAAUUUUAUGCGCUGAUUUAAAAAUUGUAUAUAAGAGAAAUUGAUGGGCUAAACAUGCUACUAUGUUUUACACUGCUGCCGUAUAUGAUUUGGGUCAAAAGGUUUUAGACUUUCCAUUUCCACACUGGGAUAGAUGACUUUCUGGUUUAUGGACUAUGAUACUUCAGUCAACAGCUGUCUUAUCUCUCACAAAUGUUAACACUUUUUUUUCAAUGGCUAUAUUAAGCAUCUUGUAUUUCAUAACUAACUUGUUCAGGAAUUUCGGUUACUAUGAAAAGGCUACGGAUGCAUCUAAACCUCGAUGAAUGAGAUAUAAGUUGUCUCUUAAAUAAUUAGAAGUCCUUGGUUUUGAAAUUCUUUUUCCAAGACAAGCUAGAUUGAUUGCAGUUCAACGGUCAUUUGACAUCUCUCUGUGAACGUAUUCUUUGAGUUUUCAGGAAAUUACUUGCAGGUGCGGUUCUUGCAAUCUUCAUGGAUCAUGCGAUAGGGCUUACUUGAUAUUAAAGGAGUCUGUGGGUGUCACACAUAAGGUAGAUAUUGGGCGAGUCUUGAUUAUUUAUGCAGUAGAUUCUGCAGUUAUAUCAAUUAAGUGAGACACUUGUUGAUUCUGCACCUAUAGCACCUGCCCCUAAAGAUGCAGACGUGUCGCAUUGCCUGCAUUUUUAUUUAUGUGUAUAUUGUAUUUGCACUAUAUUAUCCUAUGUAAUUGUAACGCCUCAAUUUUCUGUAAUCGAAAUUCCACACAGUGCUCAUGACCUCGAAGGACAACAAGCUAAUCUUCUUUUGAUAUCUGUACCUGAUCACAACAUAAUAUAAUAAAAUACAUGCGGAAACUAGCGAAAAUUUGUCAUAAGGUUCAAAACAUCUAAAAUACAUAAUCCUGAAAACUGAAUACUUAUACAUCUGUCAGAAAAGUCUCUAACUGUUUGAACUGUGGAAUUAAUGGGACAUGCCCCAACUUACUCCGGCUACUAAAAUAAAUUAAAUAUAACAAUAUACUGAAAUAAUAAUUCAUCCUCGGAAGAUGAG
Molecule: long non-coding RNA, 4618 nt
Filed under: Capsicum annuum
Lineage: Eukaryota; Viridiplantae; Streptophyta; Magnoliopsida; Solanales; Solanaceae
Description: long non-coding RNA (CANN_LNC019843)
Source: RNAcentral